This 228-nucleotide unclassified non-coding RNA is filed under the name uncultured fungus. RNAcentral's name for it is "sequence contains ITS1, 5.8S rRNA gene". The stretch from base 180 to 228 matches the Rfam family "5.8S ribosomal RNA", at positions 1 to 49 of the family's 154-position model. Lineage: Eukaryota; Fungi. The record is from RNAcentral.
UCUCCGUAGGUGAACCUGCGGAGGGAUCAUUACCGAGUGAGGGCCCCCGGCCCGACCUCCAACCCUUUGUGUUUCUGACUGUGUUGCCUCGGGGGCGACCCGGCCUUCGGGCGUCGGGGCCCCCGGUGGACCACCCAACCCUGCAUCGUUGCGUCUGAGUCGAAAUAUAAAUCAAUCAAAACUUUCAACAACGGAUCUCUUGGUUCUGGCAUCGAUGAAGAACGCAGC